This is a small nucleolar RNA of Gastrolobium bilobum, 84 nucleotides long. NCBI's taxonomy places the organism in Eukaryota, Viridiplantae, Streptophyta, Magnoliopsida, Fabales, Fabaceae. The record is from RefSeq and is a predicted model, not a curated record.
UGCAAUCUGUUAUGAGUUUAUUUUAACGUUCUGAUUAAUCUGUGAUUAUUUUACUAAAAUCACCAUCUUUCGGCUGAGAUUGCA